Molecule: ribosomal RNA, 1388 nt
Filed under: Staphylococcus epidermidis
Lineage: Bacteria; Bacillati; Bacillota; Bacilli; Caryophanales; Staphylococcaceae
Description: bacterial SSU rRNA
Rfam family: Bacterial small subunit ribosomal RNA
Source: RNAcentral
UUCCCCUAAAAAAGGAAAACCGGGCGGCGGGCUAAUACAUGCAAGUCGAGCGAACAGACGAGGAGCUUGCUCCUCUAACGUUAGCGGCGGACGGGUGAGUAACACGUGGAUAACCUACCUUAAGACUGGGAUAACUUCGGGAAACCGGAGCUAAUACCGGAUAAAUAUUGAACCGCAUGGUUCAAUAGUGAAAGACGGUUUUGCUGUCACUUAUAGAUGGAUCCGCGCCCCAUUAGCUAGUUGGUAAGGUAACGGCUUACCAAGGCAACGAUGCGUAGCCGACCUGAGAGGGUGAUCGGCCACACUGGAACUGAGACACGGUCCAGACUCCUACGGGAGGCAGCAGUAGGGAAUCUUCCGCAAUGGGCGAAAGCCUGACGGAGCAACGCCGCGUGAGUGAUGAAGGUCUUCGGAUCGUAAAACUCUGUUAUUAGGGAAGAACAAAUGUGUAAGUAACUAUGCACGUCUUGACGGUACCUAAUCAGAAAGCCACGGCUAACUACGUGCCAGCAGCCGCGGUAAUACGUAGGUGGCAAGCGUUAUCCGGAAUUAUUGGGCGUAAAGCGCGCGUAGGCGGUUUUUUAAGUCUGAUGUGAAAGCCCACGGCUCAACCGUGGAGGGUCAUUGGAAACUGGAAAACUUGAGUGCAGAAGAGGAAAGUGGAAUUCCAUGUGUAGCGGUGAAAUGCGCAGAGAUAUGGAGGAACACCAGUGGCGAAGGCGACUUUCUGGUCUGUAACUGACGCUGAUGUGCGAAAGCGUGGGGAUCAAACAGGAUUAGAUACCCUGGUAGUCCACGCCGUAAACGAUGAGUGCUAAGUGUUAGGGGGUUUCCGCCCCUUAGUGCUGCAGCUAACGCAUUAAGCACUCCGCCUGGGGAGUACGACCGCAAGGUUGAAACUCAAAGGAAUUGACGGGGACCCGCACAAGCGGUGGAGCAUGUGGUUUAAUUCGAAGCAACGCGAAGAACCUUACCAAAUCUUGACAUCCUCUGACCCCUCUAGAGAUAGAGUUUUCCCCUUCGGGGGACAGAGUGACAGGUGGUGCAUGGUUGUCGUCAGCUCGUGUCGUGAGAUGUUGGGUUAAGUCCCGCAACGAGCGCAACCCUUAAGCUUAGUUGCCAUCAUUAAGUUGGGCACUCUAAGUUGACUGCCGGUGACAAACCGGAGGAAGGUGGGGAUGACGUCAAAUCAUCAUGCCCCUUAUGAUUUGGGCUACACCGUGCUAAAUGGACAUACAAAGGGCAGCGAAACCGCGAGGUCAGCAAAUCCCAUAAAGUUGUUCCAGUUCGGAUUGAACCCGCAACUCACUAUAAAGCUGGAACCCCUGUAAUCGAAAACCACUGUUCCGACAAAUUCCCCCGCGUUUUUUUUACACACGAAAAGAGGG